GGUGGCAAGGGAGGCGGGAGCUGCAGUGACAGCGAUGGCCCCAGGCAGGGGCCCUGGGAGCCAGCUCUCUGGGCACCCGAAGCCAGGGCUUCUCCCCCUCUCUGAUCGCCUCGGCAGGAGACUAGGGCUGCUCAGGUUUUCAGCCCGCAACUUCGAGCUCGGACUGGCUCCCCGCACGCACGCACGCUCCUUUCCUCUGACCCAAUCGUAAAAAGAGCCCACGUGGUGUCUAUUUAAGGCAGCGGAGUGGUCUGGGGAGAGGAGCCUCUGGGCGCCAAUUCCAGGGCUGAUGAGAUUCCUGGGCCGUGGAGCUGCACCUGCUGUGAAUGAGUGAGCAGGCCGGACAGGGCAAGGACAAGGGCUCCCCAGGCACCAAGGCCAGGGGCCUCCUCCGUGCCCCGGAGGUGAAGGGUGACAUAAAUCAGAGCUUCCACACUGGAUCGUGGAUCGUGCUGCCGCCCCUGUCUAGGGCUCCUGCGUGGCCUUGAGAGGAAGUGCACAGAAAGAAGAGGGGAGAAAAAUACUCUCAUCGGGCUAGGAAGACACAAUGAUCCGCUGUUAGAAAUGAAACUGUUAACUGGGGGUGCAGCACAGGCAGGCCCUAGGUUCAAAUCCCCAGCACCAGCAAAAAACAUUCGUGGAUCACUGCAUCUUCUCAGCUGUGAUGCUCUCUGGCCACCAGCAACCCUCCUGGCCCUGGUUUCCACCUAUUCUCUCCUUCCUUCUUCUCACCCUGGAUUUCCAGACUAUGGCAUCGCGAAAUCCCUGCUGUACAAAAA
Molecule: long non-coding RNA, 779 nt
Filed under: Heterocephalus glaber (naked mole-rat)
Lineage: Eukaryota; Metazoa; Chordata; Mammalia; Rodentia; Bathyergidae
Description: lncRNA (ENSHGLG00100043407.1)
Source: RNAcentral